GAUGAACGCUGGCGGCGUGCUUAACACAUGCAAGUCGUACGGUAAGGCCCUUUCGGGGGUACACGAGUGGCGAACGGGUGAGUAACACGUGAGUAACCUGCCCACAACUUUGGGAUAACGCUAGGAAACUGGUGCUAAUACUGGAUAUGUGCUCCUGCUGCAUGGUGGGGGUUGGAAAGCUCCGGCGGUUGUGGAUGGACUCGCGGCCUAUCAGCUUGUUGGUGGGGUAGUGGCCUACCAAGGCGGCGACGGGUAGCCGGCCUGAGAGGGUGACCGGCCACAUUGGGACUGAGAUACGGCCCAGACUCCUACGGGAGGCAGCAGUGGGGAAUAUUGCACAAUGGGCGCAAGCCUGAUGCAGCAACGCCGCGUGCGGGAUGACGGCCUUCGGGUUGUAAACCGCUUUCAGCAGGGACGAAGCUUUUUGUGACGGUACCUGCAGAAGAAGCACCGGCUAACUACGU
This 464-nucleotide ribosomal RNA is filed under the name uncultured bacterium. RNAcentral describes it as "partial 16S ribosomal RNA". It matches the Rfam family "Bacterial small subunit ribosomal RNA", at positions 28 to 506 of the family's 1533-position model. The record is from RNAcentral.